UAUUUUUUUUUUAAUUUUUCAAAUUUUGAUUCUUGUGGUGUGUCUAGUGUUGAGUCAAUCGAGUUUGGAUGACACAAUGUCCCAGAUGUUUGGGGGUGACAUUGUGUUGUUAAGUGUGUGCAAGAUGAAGAAUCGGCAAAUAGAAAACUAACACACGGGAGCGUGUUGUAUCAUCUGAGAUCAGUGCCUCCUAACAUACGGGCGUGUAUUGACAAUACAC
Molecule: long non-coding RNA, 220 nt
Filed under: Linum usitatissimum (flax)
Lineage: Eukaryota; Viridiplantae; Streptophyta; Magnoliopsida; Malpighiales; Linaceae
Description: long non-coding RNA (LUSI_LNC006342)
Source: RNAcentral